UAUCGAGGUUUUCCUCGGCAGUUAACUGCAGCCGGAUUUUUUAUUCCUCGGUAGUUAACUACCGAAGGAUCAA
This 73-nucleotide microRNA precursor is filed under the name Medicago truncatula (barrel medic). RNAcentral describes it as "MIR2629 microRNA precursor family". It matches the Rfam family "MIR2629 microRNA precursor family". Lineage: Eukaryota; Viridiplantae; Streptophyta; Magnoliopsida; Fabales; Fabaceae. The record is from Rfam by way of RNAcentral.